UGGGGAAUAUUGCACAAUGGGCGAAAGCCUGAUGCAGCGACGCCGCGUGAGGGACGACGGCCUUCGGGUUGUAAACCUCUUUCGACAGGGACGAAGCGAGAGUGAUGGUACCUGUAUAAGAAGCACCGGCCAACUACGUG
Molecule: ribosomal RNA, 140 nt
Filed under: uncultured bacterium
Lineage: Bacteria
Description: partial 16S rRNA
Rfam family: Bacterial small subunit ribosomal RNA
Source: RNAcentral